UCACUACUUUAUAUCUCUAACCUUUAACUUUUUUUUUUCUUCUUCUUCUUCUUACUCUUCGUCUUCUUCUUCCUCCUCUGUGUCU
This 85-nucleotide small RNA is filed under the name Arabidopsis thaliana (thale cress). RNAcentral's name for it is "ATSL084340". Lineage: Eukaryota; Viridiplantae; Streptophyta; Magnoliopsida; Brassicales; Brassicaceae. The record is from RNAcentral.